RNAcentral lists this ribosomal RNA (306 nucleotides) under uncultured bacterium. RNAcentral describes it as "partial 16S ribosomal RNA". It matches the Rfam family "Bacterial small subunit ribosomal RNA", at positions 505 to 807 of the family's 1533-position model. The record is from RNAcentral.
GACAGCAGUAGCCACGGGAAUACAGAGGGUGCGAGCGUUAAUCGGAUUUACUGGGCGUAAAGCGUGCGUAGGCGGCUUUUUAAGUCGGAUGUGAAAUCCCUGAGCUUAACUUAGGAAUUGCAUUCGAUACUGGGAAGCUAGAGUAUGGGAGAGGAUGGUAGAAUUCCAGGUGUAGCGGUGAAAUGCGUAGAGAUCUGGAGGAAUACCGAUGGCGAAGGCAGCCAUCUGGCCUAAUACUGACGCUGAGGUACGAAAGCAUGGGGAGCAAACAGGAUUAGAUACCCGCGUAGUCCCUGUCUCUUAUAC